AAUGGCUACUGAAUAUAGGACAGACUCUAGACAAACUUAUGAAGUCACUGAUAUGGCUGGUGAUUGAUGCUGAUGGUCCAGUAGGAGCCGAGGUGGGGUUGUUGACUG
This is a long non-coding RNA of Myotis davidii, 108 nucleotides long. RefSeq lists it as uncharacterized. The transcript is spliced from 2 exons. The record is from RefSeq and is a predicted model, not a curated record. Lineage: Eukaryota; Metazoa; Chordata; Mammalia; Chiroptera; Vespertilionidae.